AAGAAAGUGGCAGAGUGGAGAUGUAACUGGCUUGAAACUAGUAUACGGAGGUUCAAUUCCUUCCUUUCUCG
Molecule: transfer RNA, 71 nt
Filed under: Dentex angolensis (Angola dentex)
Lineage: Eukaryota; Metazoa; Chordata; Actinopteri; Spariformes; Sparidae
Description: tRNA-Ser
Rfam family: tRNA
About the family: Transfer RNA (tRNA) molecules are approximately 80 nucleotides in length. Their secondary structure includes four short double-helical elements and three loops (D, anti-codon, and T loops).
Source: RNAcentral